Molecule: unclassified non-coding RNA, 432 nt
Filed under: soil metagenome
Description: partial contains 5.8S ribosomal RNA, internal transcribed spacer 2, and large subunit ribosomal RNA
Rfam family: 5.8S ribosomal RNA (bases 1-120)
Source: RNAcentral
GAUGAAGAACGCAGCGAAAUGCGAUACGUAAUGUGAAUUGCAGAAUUCAGUGAAUCAUCGAAUCUUUGAACGCAUAUUGCGCUCUCUGGUAUUCCGGAGAGCAUGCUUGUUUGAGUAUCAGUAAACACCUCAACUUCCAUAUCUUUUUUGAAAUGGGAGUUGGACUUGAGUGAUCCCAACGCUUUUCCUCACCGAAAAGUGGCGGGUUACUUGAAAUGCAGGUGCAGCUGGACUUUUCUCUGAGCUAUAAGCAUUUCUAUUUAGUCUGCCUAAAAAACAGAUUAUUACCUUUGCUGCAGCUAACAUAAAGGAGAUUAGUUCUUGUGCUGACUGAUGCAGGAUUCACAAAGACGGCUUCGGCCGACUUUGUAAACUCGAUCUCAAAUCAAGUAAGACUACCCGCUGAACUUAAGCAUAUCAAUAAGCGGAGGA